Falco peregrinus (peregrine falcon) is the source of this 4804-nucleotide long non-coding RNA. RefSeq lists it as uncharacterized. Lineage: Eukaryota; Metazoa; Chordata; Aves; Falconiformes; Falconidae. The record is from RefSeq and is a predicted model, not a curated record. The transcript has 3 exons.
AAAAAGCUGCUGCUGCUGUGCAGCUGGUAGAUGUCUGCAAAAGCAAUGGAUCACCUCGAUUGCCUGGAAUUGCUCACGCUGUCACAGAGCCGUUUUGGCAUUACCUAACGGCCACCCCAUGAGAGACCAAACUUCUCUGGUGAACAGAGCUAAUACCAUGCACCUGAGACACCUAAUCCUAUUUUGACGGCUUGAUUAGUAUUGCUGCUAGCCUUCUACCUCUGUCGGUAGGUACUAACUGCCACGUCUCUUCAUGUGAAAAGCUUUACACAACAGGCAAUGCCCCGCGAAGGCAUUCCUGCCUGUCUACUUUCUGUCGUUUGGUGUGCAGGAGAUUAUUUAAUAUUAUGGUAAUUUGGACUGGAGAUUUACAGCGCGAGAACAGCCGUGAUAAAAACCGCCUUCAAAAAAAUCAAGGAAAGAUUUAUCAGGCAAACCUUUGAGAAUCAUCAUGUGGCUCAAACUGGGAACAGCUGCAUUGGCAUCGCUUGGUGAUGCCCACAAGCGGAUUUGGCCCCUGUGUGUGCCACCAGGCUGGCUAUGGCAAAAAUUAAAAUACUAAUGUGGUGCCAAAAGAUUUCAUGGCCGAACUUUAACAUCCCGAGUGAGGCAACCACCCAGAUGUGCCUGGGUAGUUGCCUCAAAACUGAUCUGGUUCCAAGAUAUGCUGUAUCCCAGAGCCUAGAUCCAGCCUUUGGUAAUAAAGCAGAGGUUAUAUUCAGUUCAAGAACAAUGAUUCUGCCUCAACAGCAAGAAUUUUUUAGGAUCUUUUCUUUAUCUCUGCAUUUCAGCACCAUCUUAAGACCGUUACGCAAAAAUAGAAACACUACUUUCCUCAUAUUUUUAUCCUCUCUACAGUAUUUUUAGAGAAAUGUAAGGCUGAGAGAACACAAAAUCAGAGAGGGAGAUUCUAUUACUAGCCUUAUUCCUCUCUGCCUUAAAUCCAGUUGGAACUAAAAAAGCUGAGGAAGGGGAAGGUAACCCCGAAAGGCAGGGGAAAUGCUGCGUGUUGCCUUAAACUAUGCUCUGGGCUGAUUAUUUUUUUUUUUUAAAUGGAAUUCUUCCUUUUUCUGUUGGAGUGGCUGCCUACCUGUGGCUUUUUACACGAUCAGCAUAAUCCUAUUUAGUCACCUUUCAGCCAGAGGAAAGUCCCGGGCACGGCGCUGCCCGCGUUGUUUCGGAGGACCUGGCCCCAGGGUGGGUGCAGCUCUGUAGCUGGUGACACAGCUGAAGGGUUCGCGGGACGGCAGAGGACAAAGCCCCCCCCUGGUUACUCUUAGAGUAAGAUAAACGGAAAGGUUGGCAAGAUCCAUCUUGCGGAGCCUUGGCUGGAAAGGAGCUACCUCUGCCCUCUUCUGAAAGGAGCAGGUACCAUUCCUGCGGUAAGGAAGAAGAGGAGCAAAAUGUUGUUGUAGAAGACCCUUUUAGGCUGUCUCUUGGACAACUCGUUUCCUCUUGGGGGAUGGGCGAAGCUUCAUUACGUUGCUAAGUAGAGUCCACUUGUCACUUGUGCUCUAGAUCCAUUUCUGGGGGGGGGGGGAGGGUGGAAAUCUGUUUAGCUUGGGUCUGCAUGUGAAACGGAGCUCCGUGUUGAUAGAAUAUGGUUUCUCAGAGCUUUCAUAUGCGCUUGAACAUUUCUGUCAGGCAUAUUUAUACCGUUUUUUUAAAAUAAAAGCAGAUUGAGGGACGGAUUUUUCCAAUUAAGAUAACCAUUUAUUGCUUGCUACCAAAUGUUUAGCCGGAGACACCCUGUUUUAGUCUCUUCUACUCUAAUUUUGCAUAUACUGGUUUUACACAUCUAUUACUCCACAUAAUAUGAUGGCGAGCCUUCUAAUUGACAUUAGUAUAAAUAAAAGCAGAACUAGAACAGCUGUUCUUUUAAAAUAGCUAGGUAUUAGUGAUGGUUAUGCUAUUAUUUAGAGGCACUGGGUGAUGGAUGUGCUUUAAAUGCCUUGGCUGAUCAAAAUGCUUCAAAUUAAAGCAAACACUGGUGACACCACGGGGAGAUGCCAAAGAACAGCCAAUUCAUCCCGAUGUACUUUUUACAGCCCCCUGAUUUUCUGUGUUUCUGAUCAGCUGAGAGUCUUUCUUUCCUCUGAAUCGAAGCAUCAGGGUUGCCUGGAUGGAUUAAGAAGAUUAAAAUGAGACAUUUACUGCACACGGGAAGCGUAAUGGUGUUAUACAUGGAAGCAUACACAUUAAAUUUCAAGUUUUAACUUUGAAGAUGGGAGACUUCUUUCCAAAGCUACAUGGGAAGUAACUGCCAGGUAACUUUAGGGUUGCUGUUAGCUUGUUGAUGGCAUUUCCACUGGGAGUCAGACCCACAGACAGUCUUUGUGGAGUUUCUUUCCCUGGCUGCUUUCACUAGUUAGCUGGUUAGCAGCGGUCACGUGCAUAUUUCCAUAGCUCUGUGCACAGAACAAUUCCCUGUUUGCCCAGAUGUGGCAAGCAAAGUCCCAGAGCAGGACAAACACCGAGAUCAAUGCUGGAGUUUGUUCCAGGUACGGAGAUAAAACAUCAAGGUUUUUAAUGCCAAGAUUCCGAAUUUCUGGAUUGUAACAUUACCUCUUGAAUUCAGAUGACUUCAUCCUCAUUCUUGUGGUUUAUGACAUCGCCAGAAGAGCCUUACUAGUUAGUUUUGUAAGGUCUAUUGCCUGAAGAGGGAAGGGGAGAUACUCUUAUUAUUUUUUUUCUUUAUUAAGACUUACAAAACGAUCUGUGACAGAGAAGGGUAUUUUAAGGGACUACUUCUGCUUGCAUUGCCUAGCUGUGAAGUAGAAUAUUGAUCUGAGGUGCAUUUUGCAUAGUGUUGUUAUCCAUCAUAAUAAAUACCUACACAGCACAGAAUAACGCUUUGGCCAGAGAGACUGUUGAAGUGCAUUCCCUCAGUGUGCCACUAAUUACGCCUAUUUUCUGGAGCCUACCAAGAAGUAAUAAGUCUACUUUGAAGUUUAUAAAUCUGGGUCUAAUGGUUCCCACAGAAAAUCCCAAGUAAUUCUUUGCAGACUGUCUCUCCAUAAUGAUGCCAGCAUAAGCGGCAUGUUGAUGAACGUAAUUUCUGUUGCUUUUCAAUGAUCAGCAAGAUACAACAUCUAUCAUUGUAGCAACGGUUAUUACUGUCCUGUUGCGUCAGGUUUGAAUCUUGGGAUUUGACCUCAGUAGCAAUUUUAGAUUGUAAACUUUUCUUCUCAAAAACUGAACACAAGGCACAACUGUCUGCUAUGUUAUUUCUUUUUUAGUUUGACAGCUGAAGGCCUCUUUUGACCCCACACGAUGCUUUAAUGUCAUAGAGAAUUUCCAGUGCAGCCGGUAAUAAUCCUUCCUCAAAUAUCAGCCAGCGAACAGUUAUGUCAGGAAAAGGGGAGUGCUGGCGAUGGGGAGGGUUAUUUUGCAAUCUUUCGGUGAUGCUGAAGCUGCACCUACCCUGUGAGAUGCCUGCAUCAUUAAAACUCCACUUCACUUGUUCUUGUAUUUGCACAGUAGAAGUAGCGGCAUUAAUUUGGUAGAUACUAAUUGCUGCUUGGUUGUAAGGCUGGGAGAAAAUUUGUUCUGGAUUUCCCGUUCACUUCAAUGCAAAGUACCUAAUUAAUUCAAUAAUUAAAACUUGUGUUUCAAUUAUUGAUUUGUGUGUUUUGCCCUUUUUAUUUUAUAGAUCAAGGGAAAGAAAUAUGUGGGCACAGCCCAUAGACAUCUCUUAACAGCAAAAUAAGGGGAGAUAUUUCAGGUACUGUACUUGGAACGCCUCCUUCAAUUUGGAAAUGCUGGGGGCUGAUCUCUAUUGGACUCUCAUCAUAAAAUCCAGUUAUGUUUUUAAAUUACUUAGAAGCUUAAGUUCAGAGCAGACAUUUGGUGUCUUUACUGUGUCAGAUCUUUUGAAGAGAGGGUGAAAAAAGCUGAUGUUUUUGGAAGUCCGCCGCAAGUGAAGCGGUGCCCCCUGCUACUCCUGUACUCUGCUCUGCCACCAAGUUGGAGAGGGCUUGGGAUGUUUCUUACGCCACUGGCUCCCGUAUAAGAUGACUGAGGUCUCACAGAAAAAUCUCAGUUGCAGUUUAUAAAAAUGGACAGUUGCAUCUUAUAAGUUAGUGCUGUAGCCUCCUCAUUCAACACAACUUGUGUGCUCCCACGAUCUCUCAUUAUGAAUGCUAUAAAUGUAAUUUUUACAAGGUAGCUGUCUAUCUAGAUGUUCUUUGAGGUGAGUGGAAAGAAAUAGACACUUGUGUAAGGCCUCUGGGAACUAGAACUAAUUCUACAAACUCUUUCUGACAGUGCUAAUAACGGCACGACAGCUCGGUCCCUUUCCUCUGUAGGAAAUGAUUGGGCACUAAUCUGGCUGAAUGCAAAAGAGUUUAUCUAACCGCUCUGGGGAGAGACUCCGGAAUUCCCUAGUGCCAGAAAGCCAGCCAGUGGAGCUGGUCUGGAAAAAGACCACAUCUCAUGAAACCAUGUUUUGUGAUCUUCUGGGGUUGCUUUGAGGGUCCCCUACCCUGAGAAGGGCGAUGGCAGAGGGGGAGACCCAAGGGGACGCAGAUGGCUCACACAAUGUUUGUCCACAUUUGUCAACCAGCAGUUGGAAGGAUGGAGAAACAGGGUGGGAGUCUCGCAGGGUGUCCUGGUGUGAUGGAUGGUGGAGAUCCUGCCUCUCUCCUCUCCGUGGAGAUCCAGCCAUGAGUUGAUUUAAUCUGCUGAAGCUGUGUAAUAAUUGAUGUAAACUCAGCGUACUCCUUAUGAUAAGAGGAAAAGUAUCUAACACGCACCCACAAAUCGGCUUACUAUUUUCAAGGUAAAGGAUUCUGUUUCUUCUGAG